UGGGGAAUUUUGGACAAUGGGCGAAAGCCUGAUCCAGCAAUGCCGCGUGUGUGAAGAAGGCCUUCGGGUUGUAAAGCACUUUUGUCCGGAAAGAAAUCCUUGGCUCUAAUACAGUCGGGGGAUGACGGUACCGGAAGAAUAAGCACCGGCUAACUACGUGCCAGCAGCCGCGGUAAUACGUAGGGUGCAAGCGUUAAUCGGAAUUACUGGGCGUAAAGCGUGCGCAGGCGGUUUGCUAAGACCGAUGUGAAAUCCCCGGGCUCAACCUGGGAACUGCAUUGGUGACUGGCAGGCUAGAGUAUGGCAGAGGGGGGUAGAAUUCCACGUGUAGCAGUGAAAUGCGUAGAGAUGUGGAGGAAUACCGAUGGCGAAGGCAGCCCCCUGGGCCAAUACUGACGCUCAUGCACGAAAGCGUGGGGAGCAAACAGGAUUAGAUACCCUGGUAGUCCACGCCCUAAACGAUGUCAACUAGUUGUUGGGGAUUCAUUUCCUUAGUAACGUAGCUAACGCGUGAAGUUGACCGCCUGGGGGAUACGGUCGCAAGAUUAAAACUCAAAUGAAUUGACGGGGUCA
RNAcentral lists this ribosomal RNA (573 nucleotides) under uncultured bacterium. RNAcentral describes it as "partial 16S ribosomal RNA". It matches the Rfam family "Bacterial small subunit ribosomal RNA", at positions 355 to 921 of the family's 1533-position model. The record is from RNAcentral.